Molecule: long non-coding RNA, 244 nt
Filed under: Hordeum vulgare
Lineage: Eukaryota; Viridiplantae; Streptophyta; Magnoliopsida; Poales; Poaceae
Description: long non-coding RNA (HVUL_LNC013333)
Source: RNAcentral
GCCUAUCAUGAGUUCAUGACAAACUCUCCACAUAACGGGCAGUAUGUGUAAGCCACUAGCCUAUCAUGCUCUAGGCAGCCAGCAAAUAACUGGGAACCAGUGGUGACAGGGUGCCCCAAAAGACCAACCAAAUACAGUAAUCGCAUAGCAGUUCUUUAUUGGAAGCGAUCGUAUUCUUUUUUUAUGUCAGUCAACAUACGCAUUGUCGUAGCAUAAUCGACAUGAAUUGCAUAGUAAAUAAAUA